This 253-nucleotide ribosomal RNA is filed under the name uncultured bacterium. RNAcentral describes it as "partial 16S ribosomal RNA". It matches the Rfam family "Bacterial small subunit ribosomal RNA", at positions 524 to 776 of the family's 1533-position model. The record is from RNAcentral.
UACGGAGGGGGCUAGCGUUGUUCGGAAUUACUGGGCGUAAAGCGCACGUAGGCGGCUUUGUAAGUUAGAGGUGAAAGCCCGGAGCUCAACUCCGGAAUUGCCUUUAAGACUGCAUCGCUUGAAUCAUGGAGAGGUGAGUGGAAUUCCGAGUGUAGAGGUGAAAUUCGCAGAUAUUCGGAAGAACACCAGUGGCGAAGGCGACUCACUGGACAUGUAUUGACGCUGAGGUGCGAAAGCGUGGGGAGCAAACAGG